This 101-nucleotide small nuclear RNA is filed under the name Catagonus wagneri (Chacoan peccary). The record is from RNAcentral. Lineage: Eukaryota; Metazoa; Chordata; Mammalia; Artiodactyla; Tayassuidae.
GUACUCAUUUUAGCAGCACAUAUACUCAAAUUGGAAUAAUAUAGAGUAGAUUCACAUGGUCCCUGGAUGACAGGUAAAUUCAUGAAGCUGUCCAUACUUUC